RNAcentral lists this unclassified non-coding RNA (404 nucleotides) under soil metagenome. Its description in RNAcentral is "partial contains 5.8S ribosomal RNA, internal transcribed spacer 2, and large subunit ribosomal RNA". The stretch from base 1 to 121 matches the Rfam family "5.8S ribosomal RNA", at positions 35 to 154 of the family's 154-position model. The record is from RNAcentral.
GAUGAAGAACGCAGCGAAAUGCGAUAAGUAAUGUGAAUUGCAGAAUUCAGUGAAUCAUCGAAUCUUUGAACGCACCUUGCGCCCUUUGGCCAUUCCGAAGGGCAUGCCUGUUUGAGUAUCAUGAACACCUCAACUCUCAUGGAUUGCCAUGAUGAGCUUGGACUUUGGGGGUCUUGCUGGCCUGUGGUCAGCUCCUCUCAAAUGAAUUAGCUUUCCAGUGUUUGGUUGGCAUCACAGGUGUGAUAACUAUCUACGCUUGUGGUUUCCACCAGGUAACCUUCAGUAACAUGGGGGUUUGCUGGAGCUCAUAAAUGUCUCUCCUCAGUGGGGACAGCUCUUUGAACGUUUGAUCUCAAAUCAGGUAGGACUACCCGCUGAACUUAAGCAUAUCAAUAAGCGGAGGA